Molecule: ribosomal RNA, 303 nt
Filed under: uncultured bacterium
Lineage: Bacteria
Description: partial 16S ribosomal RNA
Rfam family: Bacterial small subunit ribosomal RNA
Source: RNAcentral
AGCAGUAGCCGCGGUAAUACGGAGGGUGCAAGCGUUAAUCGGAAUUACUGGGCGUAAAGCGCACGCAGGCGGUCUGACAAGUCAGAUGUAAAAUCCCCGGGCUUAACCUGGGAACUGCAUUUGAAACUGUCAGGCUGGAGUCUUGUAGAGGGGGGUGGAAUUCCAGGUGUAGCGGUGAAAUGCGUAGAGAUCUGGAGGAAUACCGGUGGCGAAGGCGGCCCCCUGGACAAAGACUGACGCUCAGGUGCGAAAGCGUGGGGAGCAAACAGGAUUAGAUACCCCAGUAGUCCCUGUCUCUUAUAC